AGAGUUUGAUCCUGGCUCAGGACAAACGCUGGCGGCGUGCUUAAUACAUGCAAGUCGAACGGUCUUACUUCGGUAAGAUAGUGGCGGACGGGUGAGUAACACGUAGAUGACCUGCCCUAUAGAGAGGAAUAACAGCCUGAAAGGGUUGCUAAUACCUCAUAAUCUCUCUGUUGUGGGAUAGAGAGGAAACGUACUUCGGUGCGGCUAUUGGAGGGGUCUGCGGCGGAUUAGCUAGAUGGUGGGGUAACGGCCUACCAUGGCUACGAUCCGUAGCUGGUCUGAGAGGACGGCCAGCCACACUGGAACUGAGACACGGUCCAGACACCUACGGGUGGCAGCAGUCGAGAAUUUUUCGCAAUGGGGGAAACCCUGACGGAGCGACGCCGCGUGGAGGAUGAAGGUCUUCGGAUUGUAAACUCCUGUCAUUGGUGAACAAAGUACUGAGGUUAACUGCCUUGGUGCCUGCUAGUAGCCGAAGAGGAAGGGACGGCUAACUCUGUGCCAGCAGCCGCGGUAAUACAAAGGUCCCGAGCGUUGUUCGGAUUCAUUGGGCGUAAAGGGUGCGUAGGCGGUCUGCUAAGUUUGAUGUGAAAUCCCGGGGCUCAACCCUGGAAUUGCAUUGAAUACUGGCGGACUAGAGUACCGGAGAGGAAACUGGAAUUUACGGUGUAGCAGUGAAAUGCGUAGAGAUCGUAAGGAAGACCAGUGGCGAAGGCGAGUUUCUGGACGGUAACUGACGCUGAGGCACGAAGGCCAGGGGAGCAAACGGGAUUAGAUACCCCAGUAGUCC
RNAcentral lists this ribosomal RNA (790 nucleotides) under uncultured Verrucomicrobiota bacterium. RNAcentral's name for it is "bacterial SSU rRNA". It matches the Rfam family "Bacterial small subunit ribosomal RNA", at positions 8 to 796 of the family's 1533-position model. The record is from RNAcentral. Lineage: Bacteria; Pseudomonadati; Verrucomicrobiota.